UCGGAUGCUGACGAGUGGCGAACGGGUGAGUAAUACAUCGGAACGUGCCUAGUAGUGGGGGAUAACUACUCGAAAGAGUAGCCAAUACCGCAUGAGAUCUACGGAUGAAAGCAGGGGACCUUCGGGCCUUGUGCUACUAGAGCGGCUGAUGGCAGAUUAGGUAGUUGGUGGGGUAAAGGCUUACCAAGCCUGCGAUCUGUAGCUGGUCUGAGAGGACGACCAGCCACACUGGGACUGAGACACGGCCCAGACUCCUACGGGAGGCAGCAGUGGGGAAUUUUGGACAAUGGGCGAAAGCCUGAUCCAGCAAUGCCGCGUGCAGGAUGAAGGCCCUCGGGUUGUAAACUGCUUUUGUACGGAACGAAAAGCCUGGGGCUAAUAUCCCCGGGUCAUGACGGUACCGUAAGAAUAAGCACCGGCUAACUACGUGCCAGCAGCCGCGGUAAUACGUAGGGUGCAAGCGUUAAUCGGAAUUACUGGGCGUAAAGCGUGCGCAGGCGGUUUUGUAAGACAGUGGUGAAAUCCCCGGGCUCAACCUGGGAACUGCCAUUGUGACUGCAAGGCUAGAGUGCGGCAGAGGGGGAUGGAAUUCCGCGUGUAGCAGUGAAAUGCGUAGAUAUGCGGAGGAACACCGAUGGCGAAGGCAAUCCCCUGGGCCUGCACUGACGCUCAUGCACGAAAGCGUGGGGAGCAAACAGG
Molecule: ribosomal RNA, 699 nt
Filed under: uncultured beta proteobacterium
Lineage: Bacteria; Pseudomonadati; Pseudomonadota; Betaproteobacteria
Description: bacterial SSU rRNA
Rfam family: Bacterial small subunit ribosomal RNA
Source: RNAcentral